Chrysemys picta bellii (western painted turtle) is the source of this 214-nucleotide small nucleolar RNA. RefSeq annotates it as small nucleolar RNA U3. The record is from RefSeq and is a predicted model, not a curated record. NCBI's taxonomy places the organism in Eukaryota, Metazoa, Chordata, Testudines, Emydidae.
AAAGCUAUGCUUUCAGGGAUCAUUUUUCUAGUUGGUGACUGGAGAUGGGUGAUUAUGGAUAGUUGAUCUUGCUAACCCUAAUGAGGAGUUGUAGUGUUUCCUUCUGAGCAUAAAAAUUGUAGAGAGCAUUGUUCUGUGACAGCUGUUUUUUGCUGUGGAAGAGUGUCUUGUUUUUCCUGAGAAAAGCAGGGGAAGGGUGCACAGUCUGAGUGGU